RNAcentral lists this transfer RNA (92 nucleotides) under Podarcis muralis (Common wall lizard). It matches the Rfam family "tRNA". From Rfam's summary of the family: Transfer RNA (tRNA) molecules are approximately 80 nucleotides in length. Their secondary structure includes four short double-helical elements and three loops (D, anti-codon, and T loops). The record is from Rfam by way of RNAcentral. RNAcentral also lists the same sequence under 1 other name. Lineage: Eukaryota; Metazoa; Chordata; Lepidosauria; Squamata; Lacertidae.
CCUUCGAUAGCUCAGCUGGUAGAGCGGAGGACUGUAGAGGAACUGCUUCUAAAGGAAUCCUUAGGUCGCUGGUUCGAUUCCGGCUCGAAGGA